This is a long non-coding RNA of Neofelis nebulosa (Clouded leopard), 5194 nucleotides long. RefSeq lists it as uncharacterized. The record is from RefSeq and is a predicted model, not a curated record. NCBI's taxonomy places the organism in Eukaryota, Metazoa, Chordata, Mammalia, Carnivora, Felidae. The transcript has 3 exons.
CGCUCUGGGCUCGGCUCUCGGCUCGCUCGGGGCUUCCUGCGAGCUCCGGAGCCACGUGGACCGCAGCCGGCUCGGCGGAGGCCAGGCUGGGGAGACGCCGGAGGCGGCGCGGGGACCGGAUCGCCGCCCCGGGAGGGCUCUGCGGGGACAGCUCCGCGACACUCCGCGCCGCCGCCGCCCACGGGCUGGAAAGACUAGGGAAGAAUCGCCCGGAGACCCGUGGGGUCAACCCCGGGGAGGAGGCGACGGGCGCCCGCCCAGAGGACGUGGCGGUGUCCUGAAGAGCCCAAGUCGGCCGCACCGUAGCACAGAAGGGGCCGGCCGACACCCUGUUGGUGACCGGGCAAAGCCAUGGACUUCCUUUAAGGGCGCGGGACUCGAGGUGGGAUUUAGGGAGGAGGAGGGGAGGAGCGCGGCGGGGCUGGGGCCCUGGUAAGGCCCGAGCCUGGGCCCCGUUCCGAGCCGCAGAGCGGCCACCGCGGCGCGGUCCCCGCCCCGGCUCGCCUGCCCGCCGCAGUUUUUUCCUCCCAGAUGCGGAGGCUGCACCGCGGUCCAGGGCAGGGUGAGCGCCAGGCAGCGGGACGCCAGGCAGGGGCAGGUCCCACGGCGACCUGGGACUGGGGCUUCUGGGACCGGACCCCCUGGGGGACUCAGGUUGUUCUAAUAAACGAGUGAAUCCAUCCAUGUUGAACCAUUACAACUAAGCUUAUCAUAUAGUAAGUACCCAGUGAAAGUUGGCUUUCAUGGAUGCUGGGCCCUCUGGCGUGGGCCCCUACUCACAAUGGGGGGGGGGGGAUGGGUAAAGGGUGGUCCAGGAGACUUUUCAGCCUUGGAGGAGGAAAAGGGAGCUAUUCAGAGCAUAGAGAAGUAGAAAAGGAGCGGGUUGAAAAACAGGAGGAGGAGAGAGUGCGAAAAUUCACCACUAGAAAAUUAAAGAAUUAGUAAUUAAGACUGCACCAUUUUAUCCUAGGUGAAUCUGGAAAGACGACCAGAUUGAGCAAGUAAGUGGCCCCCAAACAUCCAGCUGCUGGUUCUCCUUUGCAGCCAAGAACCAAAGACAGCUCUUAAUUUCAGCCCUAGGUCCUUGGCAGUUCCCGUCGGUGACUCCACAGUAAAAUGGAAAUUCCUAAUUAAGUGACUCUAUGGUGAAGCAUGCAUAAAUCACCACCUUAUCUAGAAAAAGAUUUCCAUCAGCUGCACCUUUUCCCGGUCUCAGUCUCGGAGGGGUUAACCCGGCCAGGCUUUUUCUCGCCCGCCUCAGUUGUGUUGCAAUGUUAUUUCUUACCAGGUGACAGACAGGGCCUCUCCCCCUCUCGGGUUUGUCCUCUAUUCCAUGGAGGCAGCACUUGCGAGGCCCUCGGACCUUUCGGGGAGCCCACAUCCUCCGGGGCUAUGUGUCAGGGGUGUGUGUGAGGGCAUUCCUCGUUGUCAUCCCGAGUGUCUCCUAACAUGCCCUGCCUAGUACAGCCGCCAUAGUCAUUCCUGGGAGUGUCUGCACAGUGAGUCCCCCCAGGGAGCCCUGACAUUGAUUUAAUGCUCACCCCCCUCCCGCCCCCGUGUGUUCAGAGCAACUGCAAAGCUCUCCUAAUAAUGGUGAAGGAAAUUGAUUUCAUCCUCUCCCCGCCCCCUUUCUUCACACAUCAGAAAGGAGGGAUCCUAAUGGGCCCUGAUGCUAUCUGGGUGAUUGGGCAGAAAAGGGCAGCCCGGCUUGUCAGCGGUGAGUUCAGAGCUGCUGGGCACGUGGCCGUUUGUUUUGGGCAGGGUUUUACUUACCACGGUUUUGGGGCCCCAACUUCCCUUAAGAUAAAAAGAGGUAAUAAGGGGAUGUACUGACAGAAGCCGGAAGGAGAGACACAGCCGGGCUUCCUGGCUCUGGCUCUGUCCCUCUUUCCCUCCCUCCGCUUUCUCUCCCUGCUCUUGCCCCCUCUCUGCUCUGUUGCAUCCCUGCCCACGGUCUCCUUCUGCUAAGUCCUAGGGUCUGCCCUGAAAUGUUCCUGGUGUCUGCGGCCCCAGCCCCCGUACGGCGGGGCAGCUGUCAAAACAGUCUUUCUUGUUUCACAGUUUCACUUUCCACUGUUCAUCUAUUCUGGAUUUUAGUUUUUCCAGAAGAGGAAUCUGACUGGCAGGCUUCACCGGGUCCUGGGUCAACAACCCAGCGGUGAAUGGGCUGCCCAGGCAGCAAGUGCCCGCCUGAAGAGAAAAGAGUCCUUAAGAGUAAGGCCUGGGAAGCUUCUCUUUAUUUCCAACUGGACGUGAACACGAAGGUAUUUUUAGCUCAAGUUUCUCUGGACGACAUCUUGUACCCAUGAGGGGAGACAAACCGAAGCUAAGUAGAUCCAGAGCCCUGAUCACACCGUACCUGAAGCCUACCUCUAGACUUUCUGUUGUAUUAGAACAAGUAUUUUGUUUAAGCCACUUUAGGUCAUGGUUCUGUUACUUGCUGCCAGAUGCUUGAGAACCAUACACAGCUACAGCCAGGUUCCUUUUUCCCCCAAAGUCCCUUCACUGCCCCCAAGGCAUUCCCAAGCUCAAAACCCUUAAAUCUUCAAUGGCUGCCAUUGUCUAAGGAUGCCAAUCCAAACUUCCGAGCCUAGAGAUCCAGAGGUCUAAUGCAAGGCCUGGGAUGAGGGAACUCUGCUUCUUAGCACUGAUCACUGUAUUCUCAGAGCUUUUGCUGUUCUGGGCUGCAGGACCCUUAAAGAACCAUGCCUCCUACACAUCGUAGACACUGGGUCCAGCCCUCCUGGAUGCUACCAUAACAAAUUACCAUGAGCCGGGGGCCCCACACAGCAGACAUGUAUUUUCUCACAGCUCAGGAGGCCAGAAGUGUGAAAUCAAAGUUUCUGCUGGAUUGGCUCCUUUUGGGAGGUCUGAGCGAGAAUCUGGCCUGUGCUUUUCUCCCAGCUUCUGGUGGCUCCUGGCAAUCUUCGGCCUUCCUUGGCUUGUAGAUGAUCCCUUCACAUGGCUCUGUGUGUGUGUGUGUGUGCGUGUGCACGUGCGCACACGCCUCCUCCUUUUGUAAGGACAGCAGUCACUGGAUACUUGGGGCCCACUUUAAUUCACCACAUACUAUGCUAAAUGCUGGGGACGUGGAGGUGGGCACAACACGGUCCCCGCCCACCAGGAGUCCACAGUUUGGCAGGGGACUGACCAUGCUUGGGAUUUCACCACGUUGGGGCAGCGCUGUGACAGGCUAACAGGUGGGUGUCGUGAGGUCACUUAGAGGAUGUUGGUUCACAAACCCGGGAGCAUUUGGAGUGUAGUCUGAAACUGACCGCACGCACAGAAGACAGGGAGAGACCGAAGGGAGAGGUGGGUCACUCCAUGUUGGUAAGUGGCAGGUUGAAUAAGCAAGAGAACUUACUUACAAGCCUGAUCUUGAGUGCCUCACGAUGAAUAGAUACCUGAACCCACCUUCUAGAAUCUUAAAAGUUUAGAGAGAGGCCUUUGUGAGGUUCGGUCAUAUACGCCGUCGAGGUGGUCUCCACAACACCUGUCCCUGAAGACGGCUCCCUCUGUGGGAACAGGGUGUGGGAGAGACUGCAUGUACAUUCCCAGGACAGGGGAGGGGGAGAAGGCCCUCCACUUCCCCGGGGUCAGCUCUCGGGUCAGCUGGCAGUCACGUCUUCCUGAUGACCUCCUCCACCGGAGGGUAGCUCCUGGGGGACAGGUGUCCUGGGAUCUCAGGGAGAACUAGGUGAGAGCAGGGGGGUGGGUGCGGUGUGCAGGAGGCGUGAGCCCAUCCGGUUCACGUACCACCUGCUAAGCCGGGUGGAGCAGACUGUGGACUUCGCUCUGGAUGCUGGCAGAGGCUCCGAGACUUCACACACCGGGCAGAGGCAACGGGGACGUGGUGACAUUUGCAUGCUGGCUAGACCACUCCCGCAGCCUCGGGAGGCCGGCGCUGGGGUGUCCAGACUGGAGGCCAUGUUCGUUCCGGGAAUCCCGCAGAGGCCAGGGGUCUGAGCUGAGGAAGGAGCAGAAGUGAGACAUCUGGGCAGGCAUCACCCAUCUUUCAUGGCGAGGCCGGCAGAAGCAUGAUAGGUUGACAGAAAAACCUUUGAUCCCUGAAGGCCUCACAACGGGUUCAGGGUUGGUAACAUCGUCCCUCAGGUCCCUUGUUUUGUGAGGGAGAACGUUUAACCAUGCUCAGCCCGGUUUCUUGAAGGUACCAUAGUGAGAUUGUUUUUAUUAAAAAAAAAAAAAAGUGUCUAACAUUUGUUUAUUUUUGAGAGCAAGCGAGACAGAGUGCAAGUGGGGGAGGGGCAGACGGAGAGGGAGACACAGAAUCCGAAGCAGGCUCCAGGUCCUGAGCUGUCAGCACAGAGCGGGACACGGGGCUCGAACUCACGAACCGUGAGAUCAUGACCUGAGCUGAAGUUGGACGCUUAACCGACUGAGCCACCCAGGCGCCCUGAGAUUUAUUUUUUAUUAUUAUUUGUAACCCAACUGCAAAAGUAAUUGACACUCAGUGGAUGGUGACCGUCUCUAAACUACAGCACCUCGGACUGUGGAAGGAGAAAGGAACCGUUUUCACAUGUCCCAUUUCGGUUUUUUGCGGGACUUUUCAUUUGCCGCUGACUCUGGUUACCAACCCUGUGUAACACAACAUCCCCAAAACUAGAGGCAUGAGACGGCCGUUCCUGCCUGUGUUUGAUCAUGGGUUCUGGGGGUGAGGAAUUUGGAUGGAACCCCGCAGGGUGGGCUUAUCUCUGCCCCACGUGUCUGGGAAGCUGAGAGUACCUUGAAUGGCUGAGGCUGGAGUCCGGAGGCUUCUUCACUCGUGGGUCUGGGAUCGGGGAUGAGUUGACUUGAAGACGAAACUCAGUCCGCCAGAGCACCUCCACGUGGCCAUAGAGGCUAGAUGUUGAGACGGGGAGCAUCCCAGGGGAACCGGGUAGAAGCCAUAUGCCCUUUAUGACCUCGCUUCCGAAGUAACACAGCCUCAUCUUUGUGCUCUGUGCUCCCCGUCACGAGCCCGUGCAGACACAAGGGAGGGGAUGGGGUGCAGGCGGUGGCAGGCUGCAGGCUGUAGUAUGUUCAGGACUGGGUUGCAGGACUAGAUUCACAGACAACGGGUGGUGGGGGGGACCUGGUGUGGAUGAGGUCACCUGGGUAUGUUGUAGAAAAUGAAGAGGGACAAGGUCGGAGCCCUGAGGACGUGGUGGUGGUCAAUAAAUGGUUAUGGAAUAAA